UGCCUUGCCAACGACACUUUGGACCUCACCACUCGAUUUCGAUUGUCAGUAUGUCUAACUAAAUGCUUCGAUCCAGCUUAAAAGCAGACACUCCGUUCUCGCUGAGUUUAUAGAAUGGUGAAUAUGUACUGCGGCAAUGUCUACGCUCGGGUAGGCAAUGUAGUGGCAUAUUUAGGAUGCCUAUGCAGAAUUAUACCUCAGUCCGGGUGUGACGGUUAAUUUCAUAAAGGCUGCAAUAAUCCACUACUGCGUACGCCUUAACAUCAAAUCGGUUGUGGCUUAGGUGAGGACGCCAGUCGUACUGCUACUCUCGUGUUGUAUUUUGAGGACGUAGUGAUGGCGGGAUAAAAUGAAGGACGUAAGGAGAAGAGCUCCAGUCAACACGAGAUCGCGCUUCGGAUUGGAGUGAGGGAUUGAGGAGCUAGAGGAUGUAACUGGUUACCUGGCCGCAACCUGAGCUGCCUUUCCCCGCAUUCAGGAGAAGGUGGAACGAUGGAAAGGGACCACGCCACAGGUAACCGUAUUGGACCUGCCGACUACCGCUCUAUAUUCCUAAUCGACUUUUGUUUAGGAUCUUUGGGAGACCAUUGACCGUUGCGGUGAACGUCUUGGAGCAGCUACCAUUCAUCUCAUCCACUCAAUUCUGCUUUCAUUUCAUUUCAAUUAAACCUUCGUGGGCUCAACUUUUCCAAGGAGUCACCGAUGCAGUUGAGAAUUAGCAAGUCUAUCUCUUUAUAUAGCAGUCUUUAAUUGUUUAUUUUACCAAGUCUCCCUUUAUGCGUUAAAAUGUCUAGGUUAAGCGUCGAACGUAGUGGUUCAGGCAACAUCUUUCAGAACGAACAUCGAUGGGAGGAGCUCAGCAUUCGAACAUCUCCCGGGCUAACGCUUGAUCCCGUGUUUAUCGAUUUUUAUAAAUGCCAUUCAGCUAAAAAAUCUAGACAAUGGUAACUCGACAAUGUUAUUUAGCAGUUGCUUAUAGGAUGGCACUGCGAUUAGCCAGACGCUACACAAUUUCCGUAUGAGGAGUCGGUUAUCGGAGAACGACACUUGAAAAUCAAAGUUUGGCAUGUGUGAUG
RNA transcript from Varroa destructor (honeybee mite), 1076 nucleotides. RefSeq lists it as uncharacterized. The record is from RefSeq and is a predicted model, not a curated record. Lineage: Eukaryota; Metazoa; Arthropoda; Arachnida; Mesostigmata; Varroidae.